This 979-nucleotide ribosomal RNA is filed under the name human gut metagenome. RNAcentral's name for it is "bacterial LSU rRNA". It matches the Rfam family "Bacterial large subunit ribosomal RNA", at positions 1945 to 2925 of the family's 2925-position model. The record is from RNAcentral.
ACGGUCCUAAGGUAGCGAAAUUCCUUGUCGGGUAAGUUCCGACCCGCACGAAAGGUGUAACGAUUUGGGCACUGUCUCAACGAGGGACCCGGUGAAAUUGAAGUACCUGUGAAGAUGCAGGUUACCCGCGACUGGACAGAAAGACCCCAUGGAGCUUUACUGUAACCUGACAUUGGGUUCUGAUACAUCACGUACAGGAUAGGUGGGAGGCAUGGAAGCGAGGACGCUAGUCUUCGUGGAGCCGCCGUUGGGAUACCACCCUUGAUGUAUCGGAAUUCUAACCGUAGGAGUAACGAAACUCGGGACAGUGUCAGGCGGGCAGUUUGACUGGGGCGGUCGCCUCCCAAAGAGUAACGGAGGCGCCCAAAGGUUCCCUCAGCGCGGCCGGAAAUCGCGCGAAGAGUGUAAAGGCAGAAGGGAGCUUGACUGAGAGCCAAACACGGCGAUCAGGUACGAAAGUAGGGCUUAGUGAUCCGGUGGCAUCCAAGUGGAAGGGCCAUCGCUCAACGGAUAAAAGCUACCCUGGGGAUAACAGGCUAAUCUCUCCCAAGAGUCCAUAUCGACGGGGAGGUUUGGCACCUCGAUGUCGGCUCAUCACAUCCUGGGGCUGAAGUCGGUCCCAAGGGUUGGGCUGUUCGCCCAUUAAAGUGGUACGUGAGCUGGGUUCAGAACGUCGUGAGACAGUUCGGUCCCUAUCCAUCGCGGGCGCAAGAGAUUUGAAGGGGGCUGCUCCUAGUACGAGAGGACCGGAGUGGACGAACCAAUGGUGUACCAAUUAUCUCGCCAGAGGUAUAGUUGGGUAGCUACGUUCGGAAAGGAUAAACGCUGAAAGCAUCUAAGCGUGAAACCAGCCUUAAGAUGAGAUCUCUCAUAGAGUAAUCUAGUAAGACACCUUGGAGAAGACGAGGUUGAUAGGUCGGGAGUGUAAGUACAGUAAUGUAUUCAGCGGACCGAUACUAAUAUGUCGAGGGCUUGACUU